UACGUAGGGGGCGAGCGUUGUCCGGAUUUACUGGGCGUAAAAGGUUCGUAGGUGGCUCGUUCAGUCGAGCGUGAAAUCUCCCGGCUUAACUGGGAGGGGUCGUUCGAUACUAGCGGGCUCGAGGCCGGUAGAGGGAAGCGGAAUUCCGGGUGUAGUGGUGGAAUACGUAGAUAUCCGGAGGAACACCAGUGGCGAAGGCGGCUUCCUGGACCGGUUCUGACACUGAGGAACGAAAGCGUGGGGAGCGAUCCGG
Molecule: ribosomal RNA, 253 nt
Filed under: uncultured bacterium
Lineage: Bacteria
Description: partial 16S ribosomal RNA
Rfam family: Bacterial small subunit ribosomal RNA
Source: RNAcentral